GCCGGGCGUGGUGGCUCACGCCUGUAAUCCCAGCACUUUGGGAGGCCAAGGUGGGAGGAUGGCUUGAGCCCAGGAGUUCAAGACCAGCAUGGGCAACAUAGUGAGACCCUGUCUCAAAAUAAAUAAAUAAAUAAAUAAAUAAAUAAAUAAAUAAUUUUUUUAAAAAAGAAAAGUAGUUUCUUUUCUUGUUGUUAAGAGAUAGGGUCUCGCUAUGUUGCCCAGGCUGGCCUUGAACUCCUGGGCUCAAGUGAUCCUCCCACCUC
RNAcentral lists this signal recognition particle RNA (263 nucleotides) under Macaca mulatta (Rhesus monkey). RNAcentral's name for it is "Metazoan signal recognition particle RNA (ENSMMUG00000062292.1)". It matches the Rfam family "Metazoan signal recognition particle RNA". From Rfam's summary of the family: The signal recognition particle (SRP) is a universally conserved ribonucleoprotein. It is involved in the co-translational targeting of proteins to membranes. The record is from Rfam by way of RNAcentral. Lineage: Eukaryota; Metazoa; Chordata; Mammalia; Primates; Cercopithecidae.